UAACUCUGGAAAGAAGGUUUUUUGCCUCACCGAAGGAGUAAAUCUCUCAGGUAACCGGACAGAGGGGG
This 68-nucleotide non-coding RNA is filed under the name marine eukaryotic metagenome. Its description in RNAcentral is "Glycine riboswitch". It matches the Rfam family "Glycine riboswitch aptamer". From Rfam's summary of the family: This family represents the bacterial glycine riboswitch. Glycine riboswitches usually consist of two metabolite-binding aptamers domains with similar structures in tandem. The record is from RNAcentral.